This 459-nucleotide ribosomal RNA is filed under the name uncultured bacterium. RNAcentral's name for it is "partial 16S ribosomal RNA". It matches the Rfam family "Bacterial small subunit ribosomal RNA", at positions 338 to 795 of the family's 1533-position model. The record is from RNAcentral.
CCUACGGGAGGCAGCAGUGAGGAAUAUUGGUCAAUGGCCGCAGGGCUGAACCAGCCAAGCCGCGUGAGGGAUGACGGUCCUAUGGAUUGUAAACCUCUUUUGUCAGGGAGCAAAGUGCGCCACGUGUGGCGCUUUGCGAGUACCUGAAGAAAAAGCAUCGGCUAACCCCGUGCCAGCAGCCGCGGUAAGCCGGAGGCUGCGAGCGUUGUCCGGAUUUAUGGGGUUUAAGGGGUGCGCAGGCGGAAUGUCAAGUCAGCGGUAAAAUUUCGGGGCUCAACCCCGUCGUGCAGUUGAAACUGGCGGGCUUGAGUGAGCGAGAAGUAUGCGGAAUGCGUGGUGUAGCGGUGAAAUGCAUAGAUAUCACGCAGAACUCCGAUUGCGAAGGCAGCAUACCGGAGCUCAACUGACGCUCAUGCACGAAAGCGUGGGUAUCGAACAGGAUUAGAUACCCCAGUAGUC